GGCCUCGUAGCUCAGUUGGCUAGAGCGUUAGCUGUACUAAAGCCUUCCCCUUGCUGGUGUGGGUUCGAAUCCCACCGAGGUCG
Schistocephalus solidus is the source of this 83-nucleotide non-coding RNA. The record is from Rfam. NCBI's taxonomy places the organism in Eukaryota, Metazoa, Platyhelminthes, Cestoda, Diphyllobothriidea, Diphyllobothriidae.